Gasterosteus aculeatus aculeatus (three-spined stickleback) is the source of this 705-nucleotide non-coding RNA. NCBI's taxonomy places the organism in Eukaryota, Metazoa, Chordata, Actinopteri, Perciformes, Gasterosteidae. The record is from RefSeq and is a predicted model, not a curated record.
UGGUAAUCAAACAUCAUCAGAGAUCCAUCUGACUAUAGAAGGUGAUCAACUGGUUGGUGCUCAAGUCAUCGUGACGGUCCUGGGAAUCAUUCUGCUCAUCACUACUUUGCUCAUCUUUGCGUGCUGGUUGAAAUCAAGACGCUGCACCAAACCACAGGAGGUAAGACAUCAGAAGAGGAGAGAUAUUUCAUGAUCAGGCCCUUGUUUGGUUUACAACAUUAGCACAGGAAUAAUCCUUCAAUGGUGGUGAUGUUUAAAGAGCAGAGUCUCCUCCAAUGCAGUGAAGCACGUCUCCAAAUGAAUGCUGAUGAUGCUCUGUGUCUGCUGGAUGGUGUCUUUGCUAAGCUGUGUGCCAUAAAAGCUUCUUCAAGUGCUUCCAUUCAUUCAUCCAAGAACAAAAUAUCCACAAUGACAACCUACAAAAAUGAAGACUAUGUAAGAACUAUUAAAACACAACGUAGUUAGAACAGCUUUAAACCUGCAUUCAUUUAUUAAGGGCCAGUGCAUGAAGCUCUAAACACAACAUGGACAUUUCAUCACUUCAUAAAGAUGAUAUGGUGAACAUUAUUGUGUGUGUGUGUGUGUGUUUAACAUGUUCUACCUACUUUAGGUGGUGCAUUGCUCCCAUGCUGUUCUGUGACACGGACACAUCUGUAACACAAAGAAUCUGCAUCCGUUUUCAUCUGUAUAGUAACUAAAACUCUU